CAAAAGUUCAGUCAACUGAAUAUAUGUUUCGCCUUCUUCAUGGUGCCGUGGAUCACAUCUGAAGAAUUCCCGAGGUACCUCGUCCAGAACACUCUUUGCUUCACUCAUAAUAUCUUCAGAAUACUGCAGAUUGGAGAGAACUGACCUGAAUACCCACCAGGAUAAUACUGCACACGUUCCAGGAAGCGCUUCAUAAAAGACAGGCAGGAACGUAGGGGCAGAUUUAGCAACAUUGUCCCGCCAUGAGACUCAAGUGUCAGUUGUACUUGGAAGAGGAAGAGUUGUGGUAGUUUGACCAGUUUCUCACCAUGGAAGGCGUUUAGUCACGUAGGGUACUUGAAAUAGAAGUGGGUGAAUAUAUAAUGAAGAAAAUGGACAAAGUUGGACACCAUGCUUAGAUUCGCUACCUCUUCAUCAAAGGAUUAGCUCCUAAGGAAAUCUUCAAGGAUAUGGUGGUCACACUGGGGGACAAUUGUCUUUCCUAUAUAGCAUGGUUAAGAAAUGGGCAGCUAAGUUUAAACGGGUUAGGGGAAACUUGGAACAUGACCCACAUGAAGGAAGGCCUUUGACAGUGAUCACAAGGAGACAGGAACAAAAUUCAUAUAAUCAUGGGAGAUAGACGAGUCACAUUGCACUUAAUAGCCCAACAAUUAGGCAUUUUGAAAGAACGAGUUGGGGCAAUUAUAAUAGAUAAUUUCCAUAUGACCAAGGUUUUGUAAGAGUGCUAAGUACAGAAAGAUGUUUUAGUAAGUGUCAUGGAAGAAAUUGAUUUAAAUUGAGAUUAAAGUAAUACAAAUUUAUGCAUUACAUUAUUACAUUUGGACACAACUCACCUCAUGUGUUUGAGAUGUGGCAUUUUGUUUUAUUAAUUUAGCACCUGUAUAACAAUUAUUUAUGAUGGAAUAGCUAUUCUCUAUGUUUAAUUAAAUUAAUUGUCCAAAAUGCUAGGGUACGUGAAUUUCUCAAAGCUCUCAGAAGGAUGGAUGGACUUAGAAAAGGUUGAGGAACACUGAUCAAUAGUGCUAAACGAGAUAUAUUGAUAUAGAUUUUAUUUACCAUAUUAUACAUUGUUUAAAUAUUAUAAGUGUACAGAUAUUAUAAUAGUGUACAGACAUUACUGCUAAGAUCAAGUUGUUGAAGUGGCCCAUUCUGCCCACUCCUUUUUCUCAGAACUUCUCACUGGCUCCUUUUCCCACAGUGCAACUCCACAAGAGCUAGAAAGAAGACAAAAAAAGAAAGAAAAGGAAAGGGAUGGAAGAGAAGAAAAAAAGAUUAUUAUGAAGAAAAGAGGAAGAUGGAGAAGAGGCAAGAAAUCACGCAAGAGAGGAAGAUAAAAAUAGCAGCCUUCUGUUAGGACCACCACUUUACUCCUUUAGUAUGGGUGUUCUUACUGCAUCACUUGGACAUUUUCACAACUCUCAUCCUCCAUUUUGUCACCUCAUUUGUCAUUUCAUCAUGCAUGUACUCAACUGCCGUCUUGCUCCAUCCUAUUCCAUAAUUCAUUAUUGGUAGAAUACUAUUCCUUAAACCUCUUCAGACAUCAUUUUUCUCUGGUAACUCAUGCAAGUGAUCCCAUGAUACUUGUAUGCCUACCUUUCUUGGUCCUCUCGCUUUUAAUUCUCCUUUCAUGUCACAAUGUUUACAUACCACUGGCCACAAUAACUUAACUCUUUCUUCAUUAUAUAUGGUGUAAGUAAUAUUUAGUAUAUAUAAAUACAGUGGUUUAUGGUAAGUUUCCCAGGACAAUGGUACCAUCAAAUACUUGUUAGGCAGAAAGGAAAAGUGGUAGGCAAUUUUUUGUAUUCCAAGCUGUAGGCACAGGAGAAUAAUAGCUCAUUAUGACUUUCCACAUGCUUAACUGCUAUGUCCUGUGCCUACCACCAAAGAUAAGAAAGUAUCAUCUUACCAUCUCCUUUGUGUCCAAACUAAAAUCUGUUGGACACUAAAAUCUGUUAAGAUCAUCCUAUUCUGAAGGACUUGACUAUUACAAA
Molecule: long non-coding RNA, 1991 nt
Organism: Scylla paramamosain (green mud crab)
Lineage: Eukaryota; Metazoa; Arthropoda; Malacostraca; Decapoda; Portunidae
Exons: 5
Source: RefSeq, a predicted model, not a curated record